AUGAACGCUAGCUACAGGCCUAACACAUGCAAGUCGAGGGGCAGCAUGGCGGUCGCUUGCGACCGCUGAUGGCGACCGGCGAAUGGGUGAGUAACGCGUAUCCAACCUGCCCAUUACUCUGGGAUAGCCUUGCGAAAGUAAGAUUAAUACCGGAUGUUGUUAAAAACCCGCAUGAGUUUUUAACCAAAGAUUUAUUGGUAAUGGAUGGGGAUGCGUGACAUUAGGUAGUUGGUGAGGUAACGGCUCACCAAGUCUACGAUGUCUAGGGGUUCUGAGAGGAAGGUCCCCCACACUGGAACUGAGACACGGUCCAGACUCCUACGGGAGGCAGCAGUGAGGAAUAUUGGUCAAUGGCCGAGAGGCUGAACCAGCCAAGUAGCGUGAAGGAUGAAGGUUCUAUGGAUUGUAAACUUCUUUUAUACGGGAAUAACAUCACCUACGUGUAGGUGCCUGCAUGUACCGUAUGAAUAAGCAUCGGCUAACUCCGUG
This 489-nucleotide ribosomal RNA is filed under the name uncultured bacterium. Its description in RNAcentral is "bacterial SSU rRNA". It matches the Rfam family "Bacterial small subunit ribosomal RNA", at positions 29 to 507 of the family's 1533-position model. The record is from RNAcentral.